UACAGAGGUCCCAAGCGUUGUUCGGAUUCACUGGGCGUAAAGGGUGCGUAGGCGGCGCGGUAAGUCGGGUGUGAAAUCUCGGAGCUUAACUCCGAAACUGCAUUCGAUACUGCCGUGCUUGAGGACUGGAGAGGAGACUGGAAUUUACGGUGUAGCGGUGAAAUGCGUAGAUAUCGUAAGGAAGACCAGUGGCGAAGGCGGGUCUCUGGACAGUUCCUGACGCUGAGGCACGAAGGUCAGGGGAGCAAACGGG
This 253-nucleotide ribosomal RNA is filed under the name uncultured bacterium. RNAcentral's name for it is "partial 16S ribosomal RNA". It matches the Rfam family "Bacterial small subunit ribosomal RNA", at positions 524 to 776 of the family's 1533-position model. The record is from RNAcentral.